This 1895-nucleotide ribosomal RNA is filed under the name Sinorhizobium medicae. Its description in RNAcentral is "bacterial LSU rRNA". It matches the Rfam family "Bacterial large subunit ribosomal RNA", at positions 209 to 2259 of the family's 2925-position model. Lineage: Bacteria; Pseudomonadati; Pseudomonadota; Alphaproteobacteria; Hyphomicrobiales; Rhizobiaceae. The record is from RNAcentral.
CCUGCAGGAAAGGACAUCAACCGAGACUCCGCAAGUAGCGGCGAGCGAACGCGGACCAGGCCAGUGGCAAUGAGGAAUAAAGUGGAAAGAUCUGGAAAGGUCUGCCGUAGCGGGUGACAGCCCCGUACACGUAGAACACUCAUUGUCCUUGAGUAGGGCGGGACACGAGAAAUCCUGUCUGAACAUGGGGAGACCACUCUCCAAGCCUAAGUACUCGUGCAUGACCGAUAGCGAACAAGUACCGUGAGGGAAAGGUGAAAAGCACCCCGACAAGGGGAGUGAAAUAGAACCUGAAACCGGAUGCCUACAAACAGUCGGAGCCCGCAAGGGUGACGGCGUACCUUUUGUAUAAUGGGUCAACGACUUAGUGUGGCAUGCAAGCUUAAGCCGGUAGGUGGAGGCGUAGCGAAAGCGAGUCUGAACAGGGCGCUUUAGUAUGUCGCAUUAGACCCGAAACCGAGUGAUCUAGCCAUGAGCAGGUUGAAGGUUGGGUAACACCAACUGGAGGACCGAACCCGCAUCUGUUGCAAUAGAUUGGGAUGACUUGUGGCUAGGGGUGAAAGGCCAAUCAAACUCGGAAAUAGCUGGUUCUCCGCGAAAUCUAUUUAGGUAGAGCGUCGACCGAAUACCCCCGGGGGUAGAGCACUGGAUGGGCUAUGGGGACUCACCGUCUUACUGAUCCUAACCAAACUCCGAAUACCGGGGAGUACUAGUCGGCAGACACACGGCGGGUGCUAACGUCCGUCGUGAAGAGGGCAACAACCCUGACCUCCAGCUAAGGUCCCCAAGUCAUGGCUAAGUGGGAAAGGAUGUGAGGAUCCCAAAACAACCAGGAUGUUGGCUUAGAAGCAGCCAUCAUUUAAAGAAAGCGUAACAGCUCACUGGUCUAAAUAAGGGUCUUUGCGCCGAAAAUGUAACGGGGCUAAAGCCAUGCACCGAAGCUGAGGCUUGUAGCAUUCCUCGGAGUGCUGCAGGGGUAGCGGAGCGUUCCGUAAGCCUGCGAAGGGAUACCCGUGAGGGGUCCUGGAGGUAUCGGAAGUGCGAAUGUUGACAUGAGUAACGAUAAAGAGGGUGAGAGACCCUCUCGCCGAAAGACCAAGGGUUCCUGCUUAAAGUUAAUCUGAGCAGGGUUAGCCGGCCCCUAAGACGAGGCGGACACGCGUAGUCGAUGGGAACCACGUUAAUAUUCGUGGGCCUGGUGGUAGUGACGGAUUGCUUAACUUGUUCGGACUUAAUGGAUUGUCCGGGCGGGGACGCGGUUCCAGGAAAUAGCUCCACCGUAUAGACCGUACCCGAAACCGACACAGGUGGUCAGGUAGAGUAUACCAAGGCGCUUGAGAGAACUAUGCUGAAGGAACUCGGCAAAUUGCACGCGUAACUUCGGAAGAAGCGUGACCCUUUUUGACGCAAGUCAGAUGGGGUGGCACAGACCAGGGGGUAGCGACUGUUUAUCAAAAACACAGGGCUCUGCGAAGUCGCAAGACGACGUAUAGGGUCUGACGCCUGCCCGGUGCUGGAAGGUUAAGAGGAGGGGUGCAAGCUCUGAAUCGAAGCCCCAGUAAACGGCGGCCGUAACUAUAACGGUCCUAAGGUAGCGAAAUUCCUUGUCGGGUAAGUUCCGACCUGCACGAAUGGCGUAACGACUUCCCCGCUGUCUCCAGCAUAGACUCAGUGAAAUUGAAUUCCCCGUGAAGAUGCGGGGUUCCUGCGGUCAGACGGAAAGACCCCGUGCACCUUUACUAUAGCUUUACACUGGCAUUCGUGUCGGCAUGUGUAGGAUAGGUGGUAGGCUUUGAAGCGGGGACGCCAGUUCUCGUGGAGCCAUCCUUGAAAUACCACCCUUAUCGUCAUGGAUGUCUAACCGCGGUCCGUUAUCCGGAUCCGGGACAGUGUAU